RNAcentral lists this ribosomal RNA (327 nucleotides) under uncultured Lachnospiraceae bacterium. RNAcentral's name for it is "partial 16S ribosomal RNA". The record is from RNAcentral. Lineage: Bacteria; Bacillati; Bacillota; Clostridia; Lachnospirales; Lachnospiraceae.
GGAGUUUGGACCGUGUCUCAGUUCCAAUGUGGCCGUUCACCCUCUCAGGCCGGCUAUUGAUCGUUGCUUUGGUAGGCCGUUACCCUGCCAACUGGCUAAUCAAACGCGGGUCCAUCCUUAAGCGAAUUUCAUUUCCUCACUGUAUCAUGCGAUACUGUAAGCAUAUGGUGUAUUAGCAGUAAUUUCUCACUGUUAUUCCCCUCUUAAGGGCAGGUUACCCACGCGUUACUCACCCGUCCGCCACUAGAAUUUCCAAGAAUCCAUCGAAACUUCAUCUCGGAGUUCCCGUUCGACUUGCAUGUGUUAGGCACGCCGCCAGCGUUCAUC